GACGAACGCUGGCGGCAUGCUUAACACAUGCAAGUCGAACGGAAAGGCCCUGCUUUUGUGGGGUGCUCGAGUGGCGAACGGGUGAGUAACACGCGAGUAACCUGCCCUUGACUUUGGGAUAACUUCAGGAAACUGGGGCUAAUACCGGAUAGGAGCUCCUGCUGCAUGGUGGGGGUUGGAAAGUUUCGGCGGUUGGGGAUGGACUCGCGGCUUAUCAGCUUGUUGGUGGGGUAGUGGCUUACCAAGGCUUUGACGGGUAGCCGGCCUGAGAGGGUGACCGGCCACAUUGGGACUGAGAUACGGCCCAGACUCCUACGGGAGGCAGCAGUGGAGAAUAUUGCACAGUGGGCGGAAGCCUGAUGCAGCAACGCCGCGUGCGGGAUGACGGCCUUCGGGUUGUAAACCGCUUUCGCCUGUGACGAAGCGUGAGUGACGGUAAUGGGUAAAGAAGCACCGGCUAACUACGUG
RNAcentral lists this ribosomal RNA (468 nucleotides) under uncultured bacterium. RNAcentral describes it as "partial 16S ribosomal RNA". It matches the Rfam family "Bacterial small subunit ribosomal RNA", at positions 28 to 507 of the family's 1533-position model. The record is from RNAcentral.